Molecule: long non-coding RNA, 1693 nt
Filed under: Homo sapiens (human)
Lineage: Eukaryota; Metazoa; Chordata; Mammalia; Primates; Hominidae
Description: non-protein coding lnc-C16orf72-15:1
Source: RNAcentral
UGAGCAGAGAUAGCACCAUUGUCCUCCAGCCUGGGCAACAGAGCGAGACUCAGUCUCAAAAAAAAAAAAAAAAAAAAUCACUUAGAUAUCAUGCUGGGUCAAAGAAGCCAGACACGAAAGAGAACUUAAUGUAUGAAUCCACUUACAUAAAAUUUAAAAAAUAGGUAAAACUUGGCUGUGGUGGAAAACAUCAGACAAAUGGUUGUCUCUUUUCGGGAAUUGCCUGGGACCUGGGUUUAAGGGGACUUUUUGGUGUGGUGGAAAUGUGGCUACAUCUACUGAUAGGAUUGUGGGUUACAUGGACAUACACAUUUUGCAAAAUUUGUGUACUAUAUAUUUAAGAUGCAUGCAUUUUAUUUUAUACAUAUUUUGCCUUAAGAAACAUUUUUUAAAAAUUUGAACUCCAGUAAAUUGGUUUGCUUUUCACAGUGGAAUGAAUCGACAAUUCUGAAACUAUUUUUUGUGUGUCCUGGGCUUUAGCAGAAGUGUAAAUAUUUUGAAGAUAAUGAGAUCUAGGUUUUUCAUUGUUAGAAAAUGUAGUUACACAUAUGGGAAGAGAAAAAAACUAGAAUGUUCCCUGUGCUGUUGGAUUGAAAUUAAAUGUAUCAGUAUAAACUCAUGGUUUUUAAUAUAGGGGUGUGUGUGUGUGUGUGUGUGUGUGUGUGUGUAGACAUGUAUGUGUAACUUAGUCUAUCUGCUGAGAGGGUCUAGUAGCAAUGAUAAAGUAAUAGCAAUGAGUACAUCUAGACCCAGAUAUUGAUUUCUAAAUAUCAGUUUCCUCUGAAAGGAAUUGUAAUUCCUUGGAGAAAAGGUCAAACCUAGAGUUGGGGAAGAAAGAGUAUACAUUGAGCCUGAGACUCCUUUUUGUGCCAGAAAGUAGGGAAGUGAUGAAGAGCAAUGUGGAUUUAUCAAAAGCACACAGGACCAACAUGAAGGAGCUCCCACUGGCUUCAGCUGAUACAGUUUGAGUAUUAAAACAAAUCAUGAUAGUAGAUUAUAACUCAUUGACUAAAAUAAGAAUCUGUGAGUUUGUAAUGACAAAUGAAUGAGUAAAUGGAGAAGACACGCUCUUCCUUAUAGAAUAUCAACUAUUAAUAAUAAAUAUAGAAGGAUUAAUGGAGUUGGAAAGGCAUCAAAUAAUACUAAACCAUGCUAUGAAAGUUUCAUUAAGGAACAGGAUACAUACAGCUUCAAUGUGUCUAUGCACAAGUUAUUUAUUAUUAUGAAGGAAAUGUAGUGACUUCACAGUGGAGAAACCUGGCAGACACAUUAACCAAGUGAUUUUGAGGCACAUUCAAUGAAAUAACUGAUAGAGUUUGGAUAUUUGUCUCCGCCCCAAUCUCAUUUUGGGAAUUAUAAUCCCCAAUGCUGGAGGUGGGACCUGGUGGGAGGUGUCUGGGUCAUGGGGAAUGACCUUAUACAAUAACCAAUCAGGGCUCUUUAAAAAUAUCAAGGUAAAAAGAAAAAAAAAAGAGAAAAGAAAAGGCUGGGGAACAUUCUAGUUGAAAGAAGACUACAGAUAUAGCAACUAAAUGCAGAGAUGGGAGGGUUGCUUAAGCCGAGAAAUUAGAGGAUGCAGUAAGCUAUGAUGAUGCCACUGUACUCUGGCCUGGGCAACAGAGUGAGACACUGUUUCAAAAAGAAAAAUAUACACCAAAGUUAAUAAUCAAGGGGUAUGAUAUCUCCAAUUUCU